UACGGAGGGUGCAAGCGUUAUCCGGAUUCACUGGGUUUAAAGGGUGCGUAGGUGGGUUGGUAAGUCAGUGGUGAAAUCUCCGGGCUUAACCCGGAAACUGCCGUUGAUACUAUCAAUCUUGAAUAUCGCGUAGGUAAGCGGAAUAUGUCAUGUAGCGGUGAAAUGCUUGGAUAUGACAUAGAACACCAAUUGCGAAGGCAGCUUACUUCACGAUCAUUGACACUGAGGCACGAAAGCGUGGGGAGCAAACAGG
RNAcentral lists this ribosomal RNA (253 nucleotides) under uncultured bacterium. Its description in RNAcentral is "partial 16S ribosomal RNA". It matches the Rfam family "Bacterial small subunit ribosomal RNA", at positions 524 to 776 of the family's 1533-position model. The record is from RNAcentral.